GUUAUGAUCUCCUCCCAUUUGCAGCCUUCUUCCCUGGCCCCUCCUUUCCCAGAGACUCACCCCAUUCUCUCUCCAGUUUGGAGGGCAGGGUAUCUAGAGAGAGAGGAGAAAGAGGAGAUGUCAUGCUGUCACAUUAUGGUGUGAUUUCUGCCGUCCAUAGCCAGAGCUGGGAUGAAUUUGGGGACACGGUGAGAAGUGUUGAAAUAUUACCCAGAGGCAAAAGGAAAAGAAAAACGUAAAAGUGAAAAAACAAAACAAAAAUACCCCCCUUGUAUUCAGUGCCAAAAAAAAAAAAAAGGGUGGGGGGAACCUGGAAAAUCAAAAAUUAGAUAAUUCUUUUUUGGGGAAAAAACAAACAAAAUCAGGAGGGUUUGUUUGGUUGUUUCUGUUUGUUUUUUUUGUGGAUUUGGAAGGGUUUUUUUGAGCAGAGGGGAUUUUCCAUCAAACUUUUUUUGAAUGAAAUGUUUUGACCAGUUUUAAUACUGGUGUCACGGUUUAACAAAUAAUCAGGAUACAUGAGCUCGAGGACUGGGCCAAACGCAGAAGGAAAGGGACAGAGAUACCCUUACACAAAAGAGAAACAAAGG
Molecule: long non-coding RNA, 587 nt
Organism: Gopherus evgoodei (Goodes thornscrub tortoise)
Lineage: Eukaryota; Metazoa; Chordata; Testudines; Testudinidae
Exons: 3
Source: RefSeq, a predicted model, not a curated record